AGAGUUUGAUCCUGGCUCAGGAUAAACGCUGGCGGCGUGCUUAACACAUGCAAGUCGAACGAAGUUUUUCUUUCGGGAGGAACUUAGUGGCGGACGGGUGAGUAACGCGUGGGUAACCUGCCCUGUACAGGGGGACAACAGCUGGAAACGGCUGCUAAUACCGCAUAAGCCCUUAGCACUGCAUGGUGCAUAGGGAAAAGGAGUAAUCCGGUACAGGAUGGACCCGCGUCUGAUUAGCCAGUUGGCAGGGUAACGGCCUACCAAAGCGACGAUCAGUAGCCGAUCUGAGAGGAUGUACGGCCACAUUGGGACUGAGACACGGCCCAGACUCCUACGGGAGGCAGCAGUGGGGAAUAUUGCACAAUGGAGGAAACUCUGAUGCAGCGACGCCGCGUGAGUGAAGAAGUAUUUCGGUAUGUAAAGCUCUAUCAGCAGGGAAGAAAAUGACGGUACCUGACUAAGAAGCACCGGCUAAAUACGUGCCAGCAGCCGCGGUAAUACGUAUGGUGCAAGCGUUAUCCGGAUUUACUGGGUGUAAAGGGAGCGUAGGUGGCAAGGCAAGCCAGAAGUGAAAACCCGGGGCUCAACCGCGGGAUCGCUUUUGGAACUGUCAUGCUAGAGUGCAGGAGGGGUGAGCGGAAUUCCUAGUGUAGCGGUGAAAUGCGUAGAUAUUAGGAGGAACACCGGAGGCGAAGGCGGCUCACUGGACUGUAACUGACACUGAGGCUCGAAAGCGUGGGGAGCAAACAGGAUUAGAUACCCUGGUAGUCCACGCGGUAAACGAUGAAUACUAGAUGUCGGGUAGCAAAGCUACUCGGUGUCGUCGCAAACGCAAUAAGUAUUCCACCUGGGGAGUACGUUCGCAAGAAUGAAACUCAAAGGAAUUGACGGGGGCCCGCACAAGCGGAGGAACAUGUGGUUUAAUUCGAUGAUACGCGAGGAACCUUACCCGGGCUUGAAUUGCAGAGGAAGGAUUUGGAGACAAUGACGCCCUUCGGGGCCUCUGUGAAGGUGCUGCAUGGUUGUCGUCAGCUCGUGCCGUGAGGUGUCGGCUUAAGUGCCAUAACGAGCGCAACCCCUCUCCUUAGUUGCCAUCAGGUUAAGCUGGGCACUCUGGGGACACUGCCACCGUAAGGUGUGAGGAAGGUGGGGAUGACGUCAAAUCAGCACGGCCCUUACGUCCGGGGCUACACACGUGUUACAAUGGCAGGUACAGAGAGACGGUCCCUUGCAAAACGGAUCAAAUCCUUAAAGCCUGUCUCAGUUCGGACUGGGGUCUGCAACCCGACCCCACGAAGCUGGAUUCGCUAGUAAUCGCGCAUCAGCCAUGGCGCGGUGAAUACGUUCCCGGGCCUUGUACACACCGCCCGUCAAGCCAUGAAAGCCGGGGGCGCCUAAAGUCCGUGACCGUAAGGAGCGGCCUAGGGCAAAACUGGUAAUUGGGGCUAAGUCGUAACAAGGUAGCCGUACUA
Molecule: ribosomal RNA, 1472 nt
Filed under: metagenome
Description: bacterial SSU rRNA
Rfam family: Bacterial small subunit ribosomal RNA
Source: RNAcentral